This is a long non-coding RNA of Gadus morhua (Atlantic cod), 806 nucleotides long. RefSeq lists it as uncharacterized. The record is from RefSeq and is a predicted model, not a curated record. NCBI's taxonomy places the organism in Eukaryota, Metazoa, Chordata, Actinopteri, Gadiformes, Gadidae. The transcript is spliced from 2 exons.
UGACCACUCUAUGAAUCAUCCUGUUAGCUUUAAAGAUGGACGCCCCUCCAGAGAGGAGAGGAAGCCGUGCCUGGGAUACAAUCAGUACCCACCCACCCAUAAGGAGGUAUAGAUUGCAAAGUGGAGGGAUGGAGACGGAUUCUUCAGUCCCAGUUACCCAUGUAGCCAAGUGUGUGUGUAAUGGAUACACAUCAGGGCGAUUACCCUGAGUGUGUAUGGGGAUGGAUGAUGGGGCGAAUCCAAAGGUAACUUAUCAGAGUUAAAAAUAUCAUAAUAUCACUUCUGUGUUAACCGUUUCUCAAUACAAUUCCCUUCAUUAUUCUACCCGAUUUUCCUACACUAACUCUUUAAAUUGGAUGACCUAAUCUUUUAUUCUACCUAUUGCUCGCAUUGAUUGACUCCUAUAUACCCAAUACGUCCCUCCGUGUUGUCCUUAUUCGCUACCUGUGCAUACCAACUAUGUGUGACUUAUUACACAUAAGUGUAAUAAGUGGGGGGCAUCCGUGGCAUAAUGGUGAAGGAGUUGGACUGGUAACUGGAGGGUGGCCAGUUCGAAUCCUGAAAAAAUUCCACGGAUGAGGUGCCCUUGAGCAAGGCAUCUGAAACCCCCACCUGCUCCCCGGCGCUGCACCGCGGCAGCCCACUGCUCCGGUAGUGCCGGUGUGCCCCCCUGUGUGUGCCCCCCUGUGUGUGGACCUCUGUGUGUGGACCUCUGUGUGUGUAUGUGUUCACCGGCUACCCGGAUGGGUCAAAAGCAGAGAAAGAAUUUCCCCCUAAAAAAGGGAUGAAUAAAGGACUUAACUUAU